Molecule: ribosomal RNA, 406 nt
Filed under: uncultured bacterium
Lineage: Bacteria
Description: bacterial SSU rRNA
Rfam family: Bacterial small subunit ribosomal RNA
Source: RNAcentral
AAUCAACGCUGGCGGCGUGCCUAACACAUGCAAGUCGAGCGGGAAAGGGGGCUUCGGCCCCUGAGUAUAGCGGCGGACGGGUGAGUAACACGUGGGUAAUUUGCCCUUGGGUGUGGAAUGACUCAGGGAAACUUGAGCUAAUACCGCAUGACAUCCCCUUCACACACGAGUCGGGGAUCAAAGCCGGGGACCCUUCGGGGCCUGGCGCCUGAGGAGAAGCCCGCGCCCGAUUAGCUAGNGGUGAGGUAAUGGCUCACCAAGGCUUCGAUCGGUAGCCGGCCUGAGAGGGCGGACGGCCACACUGGGACUGAGACACGGCCCAGACUCCUACGGGAGGCAGCAGUGGGGAAUUUUUGUCAAUGGGGGAAACCCUGAACAAGCAACGCCGCGUGGAGGACGACGACCU